UUUCACCCUAACCCUCCUAAUGUGAUCUCAUUAUUGAAUUUCUCUCCUCCACCCAACUUCUUCAUCCUCUCCAUCCUCUCCCACCGUGCCUUCUUCUCCAAAUCUCAUCUCAUUCUUCAAUUUCUCUCUUCCGACCAAACUUCUUUAUCCUCUCCCACAUUGCCUUCUUCUCUAAGUGUGCCUUCUUUCACUUACAUUUUCCAUCUUCUUUCUGGGUUUGUCUCAAUUGUUUUCCACCUUUUCUGGUAGGUGGGGAUGUGUCACAAUUUUGCAGAAAAAACUUUGCAUCCUAGGAUGUUGGAUAAGAAGGCAAGCUUGGCCUGGUUUGGUGGGUCCAUGGCCUGGUUUGGUGGAGGCUGAAGAAGGCACUGUGGGAGAGGAUGAAGUUUGGGUGGAAGAGAGAAAUUGAAGAAUGAGAUGUUUGGAGAUGACGGCACUGAAGGAGAGGAUGGAGAGGAUGGAGAGGAUGGAGAGGAUGAAAAGUUGUGGAAGAGAUAAAUUCAAUAAUGAGAUCAGAUUUGGAGGGUUAGGGUGAAAGAAUAAGUUAAUA
Molecule: long non-coding RNA, 550 nt
Filed under: Lupinus mutabilis
Lineage: Eukaryota; Viridiplantae; Streptophyta; Magnoliopsida; Fabales; Fabaceae
Description: partial ncRNA
Source: RNAcentral